Molecule: ribosomal RNA, 879 nt
Filed under: bacterium
Lineage: Bacteria
Description: bacterial SSU rRNA
Rfam family: Bacterial small subunit ribosomal RNA
Source: RNAcentral
GGGUGAGUAACACGUGGGUAACCCUGCCCAUCAGAAGGGGAUAACACUUGGAAACAGGUGCUAAUACCGUAUAACAAUCGAAACCGCAUGGUUUCGUUUUGAAAGGCGCUUUACGGUGCCGCUGAUGGAUGGACCCGCGGUGCAUUAGCUAGUUGGUGAGGUAACGGCUCACCAAGGCCACGAUGCAUAGCCGACCUGAGAGGGUGAUCGGCCACAUUGGGACUGAGACACGGCCCAAACUCCUACGGGAGGCAGCAGUAGGGAAUCUUCGGCAAUGGACGAAAGUCUGACCGAGCAACGCCGCGUGAGUGAAGAAGGUUUUCGGAUCGUAAAACUCUGUUGUUAGAGAAGAACAAGGGUGAGAGUAACUGUUCACCCCUUGACGGUAUCUAACCAGAAAGCCACGGCUAACUACGUGCCAGCAGCCGCGGUAAUACGUAGGUGGCAAGCGUUGUCCGGAUUUAUUGGGCGUAAAGCGAGCGCAGGCGGUUUCUUAAGUCUGAUGUGAAAGCCCCCGGCUCAACCGGGGGAGGGUCAUUGGAAACUGGGAGACUUGAGUGCAGAAGAGGAGAGUGGAAUUCCAUGUGUAGCGGUGAAAUGCGUAGAUAUAUGGAGGAACACCAGUGGCGAAGGCGGCUCUCUGGUCUGUAACUGACGCUGAGGCUCGAAAGCGUGGGGAGCAAACAGGAUUAGAUACCUGGUAGUGCACGCCGUAAACGAUGAGUGCUAAGUGUUGGAGGGUUUCCGCCCUUCAGUGCUGCAGCUAACGCAUUAAGCACUCCGCCUGGGGAGUACGACCGCAAGGUUGAAACUCAAAGGAAUUUGACGGGGGCCCGCACAAGCGGUGGAGCAUGUGGUUUAAUUCGAAGCAAAGCGAAG